Molecule: long non-coding RNA, 1600 nt
Filed under: Bos indicus x Bos taurus (hybrid cattle)
Lineage: Eukaryota; Metazoa; Chordata; Mammalia; Artiodactyla; Bovidae
Description: lncRNA (ENSBIXG00000029329.1)
Source: RNAcentral
AUGAGUGUGGACGUCCCCUCUGGUGCUCUCUGCCCGCGUACAUACCAACCCCUCUUCCUUUCAGUCUGCACUUGCAUCUCUGGGCUUCAUAUCUCAAGCAUCCUGAGCUCUGGGACCACCAAGUUGGCAUUCACUCUUGAACCAUUAACAGCAAUUCCAACACAACCCAUCAUUCAGGUGCCUUGUCGCCUACAUCCAUUUGCUCGCUGUCUGCCUGGUCCUGGGUCCUUUUCCUCCAAGUCUGACAGUCUGGACUCUGAUGCUCCUCAGACCCGGGGGCUCAUGUGCUCACCCUUCUCCACUGCGCCACUGCCUCUAGCAGCCCAUCCUGCGCUGGCCUCUUCCCACCUCUCCCACGUCCUCACUCGCCGGACCUAUUGCUGUGCUCUUCCUCCUGCAGGGGCUUCCUCAUGCCCUUUGCCCACUCCUGGGGCAGGUUCUCCACACCCACUCUCUCCUAGCUCCCUGCCGUCCCUCUGGGCACAGUGUGUUCCCGGAUCCUCUCAACAAGCCUCCUCUCCUCUCCUGGCUCCCUGCCGUCCCUCUGGGCACAGUGUGUUCCCGGAUCCUCUCAACAAGCCUCCUCUCCUCUCCUGGCUGCCGGGCGCCGUCUCCCGCGGUUCCUCACUCUCUGGCCUAUCGGACAGAGGUGGACCUCUCCUCCACCACCCUCUCUCAGUUGUCCGAGGUAGCUCACCUGACCUCCCACAUCCUGGGCCCGGUUUCUAGGUCUCUCCUGGUUUCUCCAGGUCACACACAGCAACACUUCCGCUACUCUCUGUGACCCCUCCAGCCGGCUGAGUUGUCUCCUCUGCUGUGUGCACCCUUCUCAGUCUCCCAUCCGCUGCUCAAACCAGUUCAGCCGUCUCUGCCUCAGACACAUUGUCGCACACUGUCUGUCCACAUGUCCAGCCUCCAAAGCUCCUAUCCUCCCAGCUCCCCCCAGUGUAACCUUUCCUGUUCCAUUCAGAUCGUUUCACACUCCUCUGACACAUUCGUGGGGAACCCUUCCUGACUCUCUGCCUUCAUCCCUUCACCACAGUGCUGAUACGUUUAGCCUCGCCCUGGGCUGCCACCCCUCCCUACCCCAGCCUCCCUCUGCACAGAGCCCUGGGCCUGCUGCCGCCCUCCUCCUCCCCUCCCUCCUAGCAGCCACCUCUCCCCAGACGCUCUCCAGCACUGACCCUCUCCCACCCACUCUGGCCUUUCCAUGAGUGUGGACGUCCCCUCUGGUGCUCUCUGCCCGCGUACAUACAACCCCUCUUCCUUUCAGUCUGCACUUGCAUCUCUGGGCUUCAUAUCUCAAGCAUCCUGAGCUCUGGGACCACCAAGUUGGCAAUUCACUCUUGAACCAUUAACAGCAAUUCCAACACAACGCCAUCAUUCAGGUGCCUUGUCGCCUACAUCCAUUUGCUCGCUGUCUGCCUGGUCCUGGGUCCUUUUCCUCCAAGUCUGACAGUCUGGACUCUGAUGCUCCCUCAGACCCGGGGGCUCAUGUGCUCACCCUUCUCCACUGCGCCACUGCCUCUAGCAGCCCAUCCUGCGCUGGCCUCUUCCCACCUCUCCCACGUCCUCACUCGCCGGACCUAUGCUGUGCUCU